AUGACUCCUUAGAUGUGAAGGUGAGUCUUAACGGAGGUGAGGAAAGCAUGUGUUAUUAAGGAGAGGUGAUCUUAUUUGCACUUCUGAAGUUUUUAGGGCAGGAAUCGCCUUGAGCCAUCCGUCAAGAGGAACAGGCCGAGUCUGGGUGGUACAAGUCUUACGGCCAAUUCAACUGAAAUAAUAACGUGCUGACGUAAGAGUUUCCAGAGUGACAGGAAACCUCUGUGCAUAAACUUUGUGUCCGGUGCACAGACGCUAAGGGACGGGGAGGAGAGAACACAGACAGUGCUGCUGGGGCAGAGCAGACACAACGCGUGGCCAGGGGGCCACGAGGCGGCAUCUGGUCGUUCUCUAGAAACACUCGGCCCGCACGUCCGGGAGGAUGGAAUGGGCGUGUGUUCCAUCUUCCCCCGCAAAUACCUCUGGAAACCCCGCGAGCAGGAGUGAGCCAGACAGGGAAGGACACUGAGAGGAGGGGCGGAGGCUGCCCAGCUCGGGACCCCAGGAAAACCAGGCGUGGGGUGUCAGGGCUCUUCCUUGUCCUCAUACCCCAAACUGCAAGCUGGCGGAGCCGGCAGCCCAGAAAGGGACGCGGACUCAGACCCGAGAAGCCCAAGCCUGCUCUCCAGCCGGAGGGCCGGGGACCGAGCAGCUGCAGAAACUGCUCACUAAAGGAGUCUGGGAAGUGGGCUGGGAUGUUUGAUUCUGAGAAAUCUUCGGGGGACUGGAAAUGUCUUGCAUUGAAAGUGAAGGUUCUUAUUUUAUUUUAAAACUGGAUUCUGUUUCUCUGUGACUCGGGGUUAGAGGGAACCAACAAAAGAGGAAACAGGAAAUCUUGAUCAGAAUCUUCUAGAAGGAAUGCUGAAGAAAUAGGGGGCAUUCCUGUGACACUGAGGUCACUCUGGGUCCUGGAAGGCAGUGUGAAGGCGUGGCACCCACUCGCCAAAUUCCCCCAGGGCAGAGUUAAGGUCUCCUUGCUGCACGUGCUCCAGCCACCUCAGGACCACAGGUGUGUCCUUCUGAGAGCAGGUACUGUCCUUACAAAUAACCCUGCAGCCCUGUGGCGGGCACUGAGCCCAGACCCGGCGGGCGUCUGGAAAUCCACCAAGUACCAGAGCUCAGACUAAGAGACAGACAGAGAAUCAUCCUGCCGCCUCAGGAGUGUCCUAGCUAACUCCUUGCACCAUAGACUUGCAAGUCCACACGGAGACAGACUGCAGACCGGCCAGUAAAGCCCAGCCUCCCCCGCAAUCUCUGCAGCCCCCUCACAGCCCCCUCGCAGCCCCGCCACCCAGACGUGGAAGCCGGACCAUGCAUCCAGCCGUGCUGCCGCGGGGGAAGUUAAGCUGAGACCUGUGGCUCCGCUCAGCCAUCGGGACAUUAAGCUGCGGGGUGAGAACCCCUUGUGGAAGGAAGCAGAACACUGGAGCCGAGACAAAGCUCUGUUGAAACAGUCCUGCGGGAAGAGGAGGCGGGGCAGGCCUAGUGCCAGGUCCCCUGGGCACCGUCGUGUUAACGGCCGGUGACUCUAAGUCGACCCCACCCACCAGCACCUUCUUGGCCCUGCCGCCGUCUCGGGGUCCGGCCCGGCCCUGCCAUCCUCUGCGUGGCCCGUCUCCGCUGGCUCCUUGGCGUCCCGAGGCGGCAGAAGAAGGCCUGUCAGGAGCCAGCCCGAGGCGGGGAGGGGUGCAGGCUGCCCCCUCCCCUGCAAGAUGGGACACCUCAUCACAGCCGGUCCCACCCUACUCAGCGCUUACAAAACUGACCCACAGAAAGGCCAUCUCAGUGUCUGGAAACCACGGAACAAAGAGGCCUGAGUGGGCCACGCGUGGUCUCCCCUUGGUGACCUGAAGAAAACGCUUCAAUUCAUAGAAAGUCAGCAUAACGCAUACGCAUAACCGACUGGCUGGUGGCACAGCCUCGGACGUGGUCGGGGCCGUCUCGGAGGGAACCUUAGGAGCUCUCGGCUCUGUGAUCAGCACCAGCUGAGUAGACACCUGCCUGAAAAACCAAAACGGACCGUCCGUCUGCAGCGUUGAAUGGACACUUUUCUAACACCCGCAGCAGGCGAAGCUUGGGGACCGGGGACCACCUCGCGGGCCCAGCCCCUGGAGAGGCGGACGUGCUGUGCCCCUGCUCCAGACGCCUUCCCCGAACAGCUCGAAAAGGUGAUUUUCCGGCUCUCGAGCUCUGGGCUUCCAACGAGAGACAUUUGUCAGCACACAGCCUGUGUGUGCGUGAAGGUCCAGGAGGGAAGACGUCGGGGAGGACGGCGCUCCCGCCGUUCCCGGAGCUCAGGCAACUGGAAACAAAACGAACCAGGAAAACAAAGUUCCCUGAGUGCGCGAGGCGUCCUCCUGAAGCCCGGCCCCAGCUGCCGGCCCCUCCUUUCUAUCUGAAGGGAACCGGGGUCUUUAUCAAGAUGAGAAUUAAGGCUGAGUCAGGACGAAGUCAGCGGCUCUCAUAAGACAGAGAACUUGCGGGAGGGGGCAGGUUUAUGAACACAGACUUGAACUCAGGUGUGAUGGCCCUUGUGUAUAAACAGAAAUGUGUUUAUUCAUAAACCUCGCACUUUCUAUAAACAUAAGAAUGAGAAGGUGGAUUAGGAGUUUGGGAUUAACAGAUACACGUUCUUACACAUAGAACAGGUGUCCAGCACAGGGAACUAUACUCACUUCCUUGUAAUGAGCCGUAAUGGAACCGAAUCUG
Molecule: non-coding RNA, 2709 nt
Organism: Vicugna pacos (alpaca)
Lineage: Eukaryota; Metazoa; Chordata; Mammalia; Artiodactyla; Camelidae
Source: RefSeq, a predicted model, not a curated record